RNAcentral lists this ribosomal RNA (497 nucleotides) under uncultured bacterium. RNAcentral's name for it is "partial 16S ribosomal RNA". It matches the Rfam family "Bacterial small subunit ribosomal RNA", at positions 28 to 507 of the family's 1533-position model. The record is from RNAcentral.
GAUGAACGCUGGCGGCGUGCCUAAUACAUGCAUGUCGAGCGAACGGACGAGAAGCUUGCUUUUCUGAUGUUAGCGGCGGACGGGUGAGUAACACGUGGAUAACCUACCUAUAAGACUGGGAUAACUUCGGGAAACCGGAGCUAAUACCGGAUAAUAUUUUGAACCGCAUGGUUCAAAAGUGAAAGACGGUCUUGCUGUCACUUAUAGAUGGAUCCGCGCUGCAUUAGCUAGUUGGUAAGGUAACGGCUUACCAAGGCAACGAUGCAUAGCCGACCUGGGAGGGGGUUCGGCCACACUGGGACUGAGACACGGUCCUGACUCCUACGGAAGGCAGCAGUAGGGAAUCGUCCGCAAUGGGCGAAAGCCUGACGGAGCAACGCCGCGUGAGUGAUGAAGGUCUGCGGAUCGUAAAACUCUGUUAUUAGGGAAGAACAUAUGUGUAAGUAACUGUGCACAUCUUGACGGUACCUAAUCAGAAAGCCACGGCUAACUACGUG